CCAAUUCCGAAUCUAAGAUAGAAGAUUGAAGAAAUUCAGAGGAUAAGGUUAGGGGAAGAGGAGAUCAGAGGGGGGGUUUUUUUUGUAUCGGGGAGCUAGCUUCAAGUUUUUGCAAGGUUACUAGUUCGGUUUCAUUGGAGGUUUUUGAAGAUCAAGGGGAUUGGAGAGGAGCUUCAUGUUUCGGGUCGGAGAAGGAAAGACAGAGAAUUGGAUUUUUCUUCUUCAUAGAGUUUUGGGAAGACUGAG
RNAcentral lists this long non-coding RNA (246 nucleotides) under Physcomitrium patens. Its description in RNAcentral is "long non-coding RNA (PPAT_LNC013057)". The record is from RNAcentral. Lineage: Eukaryota; Viridiplantae; Streptophyta; Bryopsida; Funariales; Funariaceae.